AGUCAAGUAAUUAAGUGCAUGUGGUGGAUGCCUUGGCAGUCAGAGGCGAUGAAAGACGUGAUAGCCUGCGAAAAGCUCCGGGGAGGCGGCAAAUAUCCUUUGAUCCGGAGAUGUCUGAAUGGGGGAACCCACCUACUUUAAGGUAGGUAUUGCAACAUGAAUACAUAGUGUUGCAAGGCGAACGAGGGGAAGUGAAACAUCUCAGUACCCUUAGGAAAAGAAAUCAAUUGAGAUUCCCUCAGUAGCGGCGAGCGAACGGGGAUCAGCCCAUUAAGUUAUGUGUGUUUUAGUGGAACGCUCUGGGAAGUGCGAACGUAGAGGGUGAUAUUCCCGUACACGAAAGGGCACACAUAAUGAUGACGAGUAGGGCGAGGCACGUGAAACCUUGUCUGAAUAUGGGGGGACCAUCCUCCAAGGCUAAAUACUCCUGACUGACCGAUAGUGAACCAGUACCGUGAGGGAAAGGCGAAAAGAACCCCUGUGAGGGGAGUGAAAUAGAUCCUGAAACCGCAUGCAUACAAGCAGUGGGAGCACCUUCGUGGUGUGACUGCGUACCUUUUGUAUAAUGGGUCAGCGACUUAUAUUCAGUAGCGAGGUUAACCGUAUAGGGGAGCCGUAGAGAAAUCGAGUCUUAAUAGGGCGUUUAGUUGCUGGGUAUAGACCCGAAACCAGGCGAUCUAUCCAUGAGCAGGUUGAAGGUUGGGUAACACUAACUGGAGGACCGAACCCACUGUCGUUGAAAAGCCAGGGGAUGACUUGUGGAU
Molecule: ribosomal RNA, 764 nt
Filed under: Acinetobacter baumannii
Lineage: Bacteria; Pseudomonadati; Pseudomonadota; Gammaproteobacteria; Moraxellales; Moraxellaceae
Description: partial 23S ribosomal RNA
Rfam family: Bacterial large subunit ribosomal RNA
Source: RNAcentral